Molecule: transfer RNA, 98 nt
Filed under: Streptomyces purpurascens
Lineage: Bacteria; Bacillati; Actinomycetota; Actinomycetes; Kitasatosporales; Streptomycetaceae
Description: tRNA-Arg(gcg)
Source: RNAcentral
CGGCGCGGUCGCCGGCGGCCAGUACGGCUUCGGCUCGGCGCUGGCCGCGGUGAUCUUCGGCAUCGGCGCGGGACUCGUCCUGGACGAGUUCGCCCUGG